GUUCCCCCACCGCGCUCCUGCACGACCCCCGCUGCGGCCCCGCGCUGCCGGCCGUGCCUGCCGCGGGCCAGGAUGGCCCAGCUAUGUUGCAGAACAGUCUGACAGCCCUGUAAAAAUACCUGAGGGAUGAUGUGCAGCCCGGAGGGGACUUUUUGUGACUUUGCAUGGCUGAACUGCAUUUGGAAUGAGGAGCCAGAACACGGAACUGGUCACUAUCUACAUUGCACCCAAGGCGAAGGUGGAGACAGGCGAAUGCCAGAAUUGCAAACUCUAGGUUGGCAUCCAGCGAGGACACUGUGACCGCCGGGAGCUGCAGUGUGGCACUGCGUGUAUUUGACAAGCUGAGUCCGACACUCAGUGUGCAGAGUGUCAGUUUGUCAAAUACCCCAAGUGAGGCACUGCUGAGCAACGCCAUGCCGAGGGUCCAGCCCUUUCCUCCUGCUCUGGCAGGAGUCUUCCUCUCCAGGCUCGGCUCCUCUCCAGAAACCCACCGAGGUAUUGAACAGCCCAUACCAUUGUUCCAGAACACCUGACUGAUCCUGUGCUGCCAGGUUUCCCUUCCACCCCAGUUUUGGAAGUGUCUGUCAGGGUAUCCCUCCCAACAGUAAAUCUGAGCAAAAGUGGUGCUGGUGCAACUCCUCUGCACUGUGAAGACAGGGAAUUUUGCCCUGGGUCCUUGUUCUUUGCUUCCAAAUACAAUGCUGUUCUCUUACACAGCAUUAACUAGCCAGCUGUUAAUUAAGCUCAGUUAACAAGUCCCAGCAACUAUAAUCACAACAUCAUGGGUAAAGUCAGCAUUAUCCAUAUUAAGAAUCUUUCCUUUGCACAUAUAGGAAUCUUUUUUAUAUGGAGUACAAGCUAAUGAGGCUGCUGAUUAACUUCCCUCUGGCCCAUUAACCUGUGAAAAAUGCAUGUUUGCUCAAUCUGUUUUCAAUUAGGCCAUGGAGUCCAUUGCCCCUCCCGGGAGCCUUGCUGUUUGGAGAAGACUUCUUGUCUUUGGAUGGUUAUUCCUAAUCAGCACUUGCAACAAGGUUGCCUAUUCUACUGUUUAAUUAAAGGAAUUCCCUCUAAAUCAUCCCACUUGAAGAUGUAAUGAUUGCAAAGUGUUUUCAGUAACUGACUUGUAGCAUUUCAGAUAUGUCAGGGUAGGGGAAUGACAGGGGCAGCAUCCAGCCCAGUUUGACAAAUCAAACUCUCUGAAAGCAUUUGACAUGGAAAACUCAGAAAUAAAAAAAUCCAAAGACCCUACUGACUAGUUUUAGGACAGUACCACCAGCAAAUUUUGCAAUAUUUGAGAAUACUAAUAAACUUCAAUACUAAGCUUUUGG
Corvus hawaiiensis (hawaiian crow) is the source of this 1328-nucleotide long non-coding RNA. RefSeq lists it as uncharacterized. NCBI's taxonomy places the organism in Eukaryota, Metazoa, Chordata, Aves, Passeriformes, Corvidae. The record is from RefSeq and is a predicted model, not a curated record. The transcript has 4 exons.